AACGAACGCUGGCAGCAUGCCUAACACAUGCAAGUCGAACGAGACCUUCGGGUCUAGUGGCGCACGGGUGCGUAACGCGUGGGACCCUGCCCUUAGGUUCGGAAUAACUCCCCGACAGGGGUGCUAAUACCGGAUAAUGUCUUCGGACCAAAGAUUUAUCGCCUUUGGAUGGGCCCGCGUUGGAUUAGCUAGUUGGUAGGGUAAAAGCCUACCAAGGCGACGAUCCAUAGCUGGUCUGAGAGGAUGAUCAGCCACACUGGGACUGAGACACGGCCCAGACUCCUACGGGAGGCAGCAGUGGGGAAUAUUGGACAAUGGGCGAAAGCCUGACCCAGCAAGGCCGCGUGAGUGAUGAAGGCCUGAGGGUUGUAAAGCUCUUUUACCCGGGAUGAUAAUGACAGUACCGGGAGAAUAAGCUCCGGCUAACUCCGUG
This 433-nucleotide ribosomal RNA is filed under the name uncultured bacterium. RNAcentral's name for it is "partial 16S ribosomal RNA". It matches the Rfam family "Bacterial small subunit ribosomal RNA", at positions 29 to 507 of the family's 1533-position model. The record is from RNAcentral.